GUCCCUCGUCCCAGAGUCAGUGUGUUUCUGGUUAAAUGUCUGAAAUAAGGUCUGUGGUUUUAACACAAGCUCAAGACAUUUUCAGGUUUUAUUCUCCGACAUAAAAUGGGUCAGUAAAUCCUCCACUCCUGAUGUUUGAAGCUUUUACGUGUCUUAAAAAGGCGGUUGCUAACGAGUGUCUAAAUGAGACUACAGAGGUUGUCGGGGACGUUAACAUGAAAACCCAUCUACUCACCAGUCCACCUUUACAGCCUCGUUGUGUUUCUACUCACGCUCUUUCAAACUCUCACUAACUUUCUAAGAAGAAAGGCUUUUGUAGAAGAGCUCAGAGCUAAAUGAAAUGACCAGUUGGAAGCUUAGUGGUGGAGACGUUGACGUCAUGUGACCGUGGUGUAGUUGGUUUAUAGCCUAACAUUAGCUUCUUACUUCUGGAGGUUGGAUUUAGGCUUCAAACAUCAGAACAGUGGUGUUCAUCUGUGAAGAUGAUCAACUGAUCAACUAAACCUGAAGGAUCAGAAACUUUAGUUGAACAUGAGCACAC
Long non-coding RNA from Lates calcarifer (barramundi perch), 541 nucleotides. RefSeq lists it as uncharacterized. The record is from RefSeq and is a predicted model, not a curated record. The transcript has 3 exons. Lineage: Eukaryota; Metazoa; Chordata; Actinopteri; Centropomidae.